Rattus norvegicus (Norway rat) is the source of this 14764-nucleotide non-coding RNA. NCBI's taxonomy places the organism in Eukaryota, Metazoa, Chordata, Mammalia, Rodentia, Muridae. The record is from RefSeq and is a predicted model, not a curated record.
CAAGUGACUUUCACUGCACAUUGCCUCUAACAAAGCCUUCCAUCGUCUGUACCUUGAAACCAGUCUUAGAGCAUAUCUAAACAGCAGAAUUCAAGCCCAUCAGCAGGUGUCUAUGUCCUUAGCCCCAAAUCAACCAUUUGUCUUCUUCCUGUAUUUUUCAAGUGGAGCCUCCCUUCCUGCAUUAUUAUCCUCCUGCAAGCUCUCCUGAAGGAAACUGCAUCUGAACAAUUAAAGGACAUAGAACAAAAUGACUGGGGUCUCUCUCUCUCUGGCUUCUCGGGAAAUAAAAGAUGGUCCUUAGUAAAUUCUCCAGAGGGCUCUGCUUAGCACAAAGAUGAGCAGAGUACAAGUGGAGAAAGGCAGUACCAGCAACGAACACGAUAUCAUUUGUGCAUCUCACGUGCCUCUCUAUCCGCCAUCCUUGUUAUGGGGAGAGCCGAGAAGUCCCCUUCCCCUCUCCUUUUCCUCAGAUGCUGGCUCCUCCUGUGCCUGUCUGACUGUGGCCUUUGGCCUGAGUAUUCACUCGGUUUUAAAGUAAAGUAGGAGCGGCUACGAAAUCUGUGAGAUGCUUGGGAUGACUCCACAAAUUAAAACCUUUUAUCAGCCUCUAAUAGCUGCGCAAACUAAUUAUACUUUGGCCAAACUUUGCCAAUGACUCCCUUGAGGUAUUAUUAUAGAAUUUUGAGCUUGAAAAUGCGUCCCCAUUCUGUCAACAUCAGGUUGUUUCAGCUACAGGGAAUGAGGCUCCAGCUCCUAUUAGCUUCCAUGGUGUGCUUUGCAUAAACGGGGACAUUUUACACAUGGGUUGCAGGUACAGUAGCUGAGGGAACACCUCAUACAUAGGGUGAUUUUCAGCACUGGGACUGCACAGAGAGGCUGUUUACAGAAAGAAAAGAAAAAUGGCUGUGCCCUGAAAUUUUUAGAAGCAGCUACAGGGCUCCUUUCCAAUGGGUGAAGCAGUUCAUUUGGUAUCUACUUGUAGCAGCUUCUAAUUUGGAUGGACACCUAACUUUUCUUCCCUGUGCUCCCAUUUCUUCAUAUGUGGAAGGAGAGAACUUACGAUAAAAGAAAAUAGUUCUCAUAGAGCUUGACUAGAAGCCAUUAGAUCCUGGAUUGUCAGAGAAUUUGUGUUCACACACAAUGAAGAUUAAAAGCCAAGUGGUUCAAAACGGAUGAAUUUGUCAGUAAAAAACAUUUAUCCAACACGUACAGUAGGUGACAUCUUUAGAGGUAUGUGAUGGCUGUCAUUAUUCCAUGUGCCAAUGAGUGCUUCUCGAUAUUGUGUAGCUGGUCUGAAGAGUCAAAUCACUCCUCGGCAACCCCCUUCCCUUAAGCAUGCGAUUCCUUGAAAUUAUCUCCAAGAAGAAUCAAGGUAUGGCGCAUCCCAUGGCCCUAGGCUACCAUUGUAUCCGGGACUAGAAAAUGAGGUAGGAUUAAGCAAGCUGCUUAAUUCCAAGGGCCGGGUGUGAGACCUUUAUCAUGACUGUUUGGAUGUCAUAGAGGUACCUAGGAAAACUGAAUGGUGUAGGCCAAUCAUUCCCCUGGCCUGAAUGUAAAUGAAUACAUGGUAAGCAAGAGCUCUCAGAAGCUGUGGCCAGUACAGAGGCACAGUAUUUGCAGGAAAUGCUAUGUUAGUACAGCACUCUGAGACAAUGAGAAAAUUAUAUUAUGGUAGAUGCAUAGGCCAGUGAUGCAAAGCCUUAUGUUUAUUAUGAAGUGCCAUACAUUGUGUGCUAAAAAGAUCACUUUUUAUUUAUAUGAGCAUCACCACCAACAUUUAAGUGAUGGCUUGCCUUAUGGCUGCGGGGUCACUAGGUGAUGCAAAUUCUCAACUACAUCAAAGGAUCUCAUCCUCUUAGGGCAGUGUGUUGAUCGCCACCCAGAACUGACCAUCUACCCUACUCUGUGCCUAGUCCUGAGCCGCUGAUGGAAGGAAGAAACCGAGAUGUCAGAGGAAUGGGGUUUGCUCUUCUCAGUAGUCAGAGGAAAGUUAGUCAUUAGCUUAACUAUACAUAUACCUCUUAGUCCUGCCCAUUGCCCUUGUAGGACCACAGCAGAGGCAGGUACACAGCCAGGGUUCAGGUCCUUAUUUCAGCAAAGGAUCUCCUGGUUCUUUUUUUUUUUUUUUUUUUUUUUUGUCUCUGCCAUCUGCCAGCCCAUCUCGUGCACUCCCAUGAUAGGCUAAGCAGAUUCUUGACUUCUUUCCAGUUGUCACUAAUUACACUGCAGAUCUGUAAAUCAUGCCAGGCCUGCGCUGACAGGGAGGGGGAUUGGUCCUCUGCCUUGCUGAGCUCAGGGCUCCUGGGCAUACCCACAGCAAGCAUCCCCAAGGUAGAUGCUGAGGGCAAAGGGAUGCUGAGUCACGUGGUGACCCAGGCCCUGCAUGUGUAUGCAUAGCCUAGUCCCAGGUCUCAGGCAGUAUAAACCCUGUCUGGAAGAAUUUAGUUGUUCUGCUUCUGCCUGUGGGCUUUUAUUGCUGUUUGGAUAGCUGGAAGGCAGAGCAGGGCGGGUUUCACCUGGGAGAUGUUGUUACUAUUGCUUCCGGUAGUUUGACGAAGAUGGAACCGUAUACCUCCAAUGUAGUCAAAUAAUAAAAGAGAUUAAUUAUUUCUAAGACAGGGUAUGCAAAUCUGUGUGUUAAAGUGUACCAUGGGUGAUUUAGAUAAGAGUAUCUUCACUUAAAGAAUUUCUUGAUACUUGAUACUUGAUUGUGGGUUUCAGCUCCUCAAUGAUCAGUUCCAGUUUCUGCACCGAGAAGUGGCUUUCUCUUUUCCCUUAUCUCUUUCUCUUUUUUAACUUUGCUGUUUUGGUGAGGAUACAUGGUCCUUUGAUUAGAACCGUGCUAUCCUAUGUGUGCAUGAAAGUCACGUGUACAGUCUGGGUGAAUAGAUCCCUAGCUGGCACUUGGAGAAAGCGGGUGCCCACUUGGAGUUCUGCAACCAGAGUGUCAUGGGCUGAGGGGUUGCCCCCGGUAGCCCUAGCCACAAGUCUCCUAGCCAAGCUCGCUCACUGCGCAGAUUGCUGGCUAAUGGGGUGGAGCUAGCUGAAGUGCCUCCUAUUAAUGGAGCAGAAUAUAAACAGAAUAAAGGCUUCAUUUCGCAGGCUGUGGUUUCAUUAUUAAUAUACUUUCCAGUUCACAGGUUGUACGUUUGUGCCCAUGUUUUCUCAGCUGGUGUAAUCUGUGGCUCAGGGUGAGAACAGUCAUAAAAUUUUCAUUUCCAGUUGAAUGUGCAUCCAAUUCGCCGUGAAAUGUUCUAUCUGUCGUGAAUAUUAAGUGCACUGAAGCAAUGGCUGCUGGAUUAGGUAAAGAAGCUCACGGCCCCUCCCAGACCUGGCAGGGCCCAGGCAUGUUCUGGAGCAUGGGUGAGGACGUUUAUGGAGAAACAGUAGUCUGCGGCCAUGUCCAGGAGCUAGGCAGAAGGAGAGAAGGAGAGGAAGUAUGUUCCAAAGGGUGCAGAACUGACAAGAAUACCAGUGCAGAGAGCACUUUGGGCCAGAAGAGGAAAACAACUAGAUACUCAAGUACAGAGAUGCAGAAUGCCUGAAUAUAGGUGAAGAGGGAGGCAGUUGCCUAGGUGAGAGCCAGCCCAGGAGGGCGCAUAGUUGUCAGCAUGAGAGAAAGCAGACAGAAUACUCUAUGCACAGGGCCUUUUUAGUCACAUCAAUAGCAUUGUGAGGUGAACAGAGUGCUGUUGGUCACAGACAGACUGUGAGCAGCCACGGCUGAGAGAGCUUCUAUGGGAUGUCCUCCAGGCCUCCUGCAGGGCUAGAGUGGCAUGGGGACUCUGUCCAAAGAACAAAUGCGGUUUGCUGUAGCUGGCCACCCAUGGGCAUUCACCUGCCAGCGCCAACUCACUGUCUGCACUCAGCAGGACAUGAGCUCUGCUCAGUAACUCCUUGAUCUCUUCUGUCUUAGAAUUUGUGAACCUUUGUCAGUCUCCCAGCUAAGACCCACUCAGUGCUCCCUGGAGGAGCUGAAGCAACAGAGGGAGAACUCUUGUGCUCAGUGGACCUUUUCUUCCUAAACUCUACCUUGGGUCCCGGUGCCCCCACUCCCUAAACUGGAAAAGUUUAAUGUGAAAUUUACCCCAUGCUGGAGGGAAAUAAGGCAAAUAGGAAGAAGUGAAGCAAGAAGAAGUCAGCAGCCCAGACACCAACUUUGAUUUCUUCGAGCCAAAUUGCUAAGUCAGCCAGGUGGUCCCAGAUGAACUUCCAACCCAGGCAGAAAAUUUCCAGCCCCACGAAUAUGUACAUGUGUGUAUGUGUGCAUCUGAAUGCAUGCCCACAGUGCCAUCUAUAAAGUUGAGCCUAUAUGUGGUCUUUGGCUGUUUGCACUGGGAGUUCAUAACAGCUCAGUGAUAGCCAACAGAAUUUCCCAUUUUUGAUCAAGAGACACAGUACAGGAAUAAGUUAAGAGGCUGCUCCAAGGUCACAAGCUGGAACCCUUGGUGGAAGCAGAACAGAAAUCCCCUAUUCUGAAUUGGAGGCUUGUGCCCCAUACACAGCUGUUAAUAUACAACUUCAUAUUUGUGGUUUCUGACUGUUUGGCUUUGGGCACUACAAAGAGACUUUUGUAAGUCUGAAUUAUACACCUGCUUAGGAGAGGGAAUAGUGGGGAGAGAAGGUUCAAAUGAGCUGGAUCUAGACAGCAAGGUGGUCAAAGAUUCACAACUUAUCAUGAUCCUCUCUGAGCACAGGUAGUUCUGCUCCGAAGGGAUAGCUUAUCUGCUGUUCACUUCAUCUUUCCUCAUGCCUUUUUCAUUUCUGCUUACUUGAAGCACCAAAAGGUUCUUGCAGACCAGCCCACCUGGCUCACAGCGUACCCAGGAGCCCCUGCAUUUGCCCUGAUGCCCUACAUAGCCCAAACUUCGUUUUCAAAAGGCCCCCAGGAAGAUUCCAUGCAUUCAUGCUCCCCCACAAGCCCUUUCCUCUGCUGAGAGAGCGCUCCAUCUGUAUUUGUUAUGUCUCCAUUUCUCUGAUUAUAACUAUGACCAGAACAUCUCAUAAAAGAAAGCAUUUAACUGGGCGUUCAGUUCCAGUGGACAAAAGGCCAUGAUGGCAGAGCCAAGACAUGGUGGCAGGAUCAGCUCAGAGAUCACAUCUCUAACUGUAAGCAGGACUCAGGGAAGGAAUCCACAAGGAAUGGGAGUUUUUUGAAACCUGAAAUCCUGCCUCAGGUGACAUACUUUCUCCAACAAGGCCAUGCCUCGUAAUAAUUCCCCAAUAACCACCAAUGGGGGAGCAAGUAUUCAAAUAGCUGAGGCUUGUGGAGGGACAUCUCAUUCAAAACAAAACAGCAACUUUCCCCAUGGCUCAAACCACAGGUUACUCAUGAAGCCUUCACCCCUUCACUCAUGCAAUCGAUUUUUCCCCCCUAAGAAUCUUUCCUAGAAUCUAUUUGCAGGUUCCAAAGCAUGUGUCUUCCUCCUUAGUUUUCUGGAAACUCCACGUGGAUACAUGUCAGUCUUGCACACAGACACCAGACUAGACAAACGUGAAUUCCAGUGCCCACACUGGCCACUCACCAGCUCUGAGAAUCUCGUUGAAGCCUACAGCUCACCUUAGUCUUGCUUUGCUCAUCUCUAAAAUGGGAUUGGUUACCUUAGAAGGAGUUGGUAAGAAGCCGAAGAAGAGAAGUAAGCAACAGAACGCUUAGUGCUUGGUAAACGCAGGCUCUCUUGUCUUCAGUAAGGGUCUCUUUUCUAUAAGAACUGCUUAUUGCCUGGAUACAUGAAUCCUGAUUGAUGGAAUGAUUGUCAACUUGCAAGCUCCCAUGAAGAGAUUCUGGAGGUAAAGAAGGAAAGAUGUGGGGAAGCAAAUAGGGCAGUAGCAGUGGGGCUUCUGCGGUGUCCUAAAUUCAAAAGUAAAUUAAAACCUUUUAAUUACAGAUUUAGUAGUUCUGCCCUUUGCACAUUCUUCCCACUGUUUCUCUCUAGAUCUCUCAUCCUCUUUGCUUUUUUUUUAACCUUUUUUCAUUCCUGUUUAUUUGCCCUGUAUAUAAGUUCAGGCACACGUCCUCUCCAGUGCUUAUGCGUGAGUUAUUCUGUUGUCUCUGUUGUCAGUUUCCCAGGGAUCAAGCAUAUGGUCAUCAGGCUUGGCUGAAAGCGCCACUACCUGCUGAGCCAUCUUACUGACCCUCCCUCUCUCUCUAAUAUUUGAUUCUUCAAUUUAUUGGAUGUGAAAAUUCAGCAGACAUUCGCCACCUCAUUAAGCAUUACCACCUGUGUUCUCUUAACCUUGAAUUAAGAAAUAUUAACCCCUGGAAAACAGUUCCUUCUAGUGCUUAAACCUGGGAAGUCUCCAAGCUCCUUACCCUCUCUGCCCAGACUCUAGAGAAGGCAGAAGGUAGCAUCCGAUGGCCAUGGCCCAAAGCAUCUAAACACAGGAGGGAAUGGAGCAAUUCGGAGGAGGUUCUCUUAAAAUUCACAUGCGGUUGAAUCUUCCUGUUUUACCCUGGGUCCUCGGAACUCCUGCCCUGAAGCUGCAUUCAAAAUAAAUUCCACCAGUAUCCCAUUCUCAGGGAGAGAUGGGAGAAAACGGCGGUGCAUCCUUCUGCUGGCUUGUCACUGUAGAGUUGAGAUAAUAAUAGUCUUUUUCUGAUCCCCUGAACUUUCCCAUCUGCUUCAUAAAACAAUGGCAAUUUUUCCCUUGCUCUGUCUUCCUCUCUCUCUUUUAUUUUUAUCCUCCUACACUAUAAUUUAAAACUGUGGCAGUGCUAUAGCCCUUGAGGUUUUUUUUUUCCUUUCUUUCCCCUUGCUUUAAUACAUGACUGUUAUUUAAAAUGGCCUUUCAUGUGAGCAGCAGGAGGCCGCCUGGGUAGACACUGCUUCUUGCUUUCAGCUGGGAGGGUAGGCCAGUCAGCUACUGUUCUAGCCAAGGAUCCCUGUUCUCUUCUCAACUGCCCGGAAAAUCACAAGUUUUAUCUGCUUUUUCUUCCAAGGCGGUUGUGCAAAAGGAACUCAAGGAACCGAAGAACGGUAGAUGCCCUUGCCCUUCAAAUGACCAGCCUGUGAAGCAGAUGGCCCCAGGGACUCCACCUGGUUCCAGGUUCCAAUCAAGGAACUUCAGUUAAAUACAGUAAAUUCUGUGCAGAGUAAAUGCUAAGGGAUUGUCCACACUGUUAGCCAUCAGCAUGGAGACUUCCAGCUUGAUUGUUGUUAGGCAGGCUUUCUCUUGGUAGCUCUUGUCAGUCACACACAGCAUCCAGGGGUAUCUAUCUGUUUCAGCUGAUGGCUGUACAAAGGAGAGAGUGAUGGUUAGGCUCCUUCCCCAGGGGAAUACCAUCUAUUUCAGGGAACAGAAGAGUUAUUUUCCAUACCUUCACAUCCAUGCCCAGACCUUCACAACCUUCUGAGUAUGGUCAGCAACUACCUAGGGCUCUGUCUUUUGACCUCUCUACUGGAGAUUUCUACAUAGUCUCUGUCCAUCAGUACAGCUCCAUGUGUGCGCCUGUAGCUCCCAGAACACACUGGACGUAUUUAGAUUCUGUCCCCCCACUUUCUGUAAAGGUUCAUUGGACUAGUUGGAUAUUCCCGAUGGGCUACAUGAAGGAACAUAGCCAUUCAAACUUUGGGGGCCACCCUGGGCUCAAGACUAGAAAACUAUGCAUGUUCAUUGUGGAAGAGUGUGGGAGCUAGGUAGAUAAAAGUGUCAUUUGUGGAAGUAAGUGAACAUGUAAGAGUGAGUAUGGAUGUUGGGUGUGAGUAGAUGGGUAUGAUGUAUAUGUGGAUGUUCCACAUGAGAACACAUUGCUUAUAUCAAAUAUAACUUUGAUUGUGUCUUUUAAUAAAUAUGUGAGGGGUAUGUGUACGCACAUCUCUCUCUCUCUCUCUCUCUCUCUCUCUCUCUCUCUGUGUGUGUGUGUGUGUUUGUGUGUGUGAAGUGCGCAUGUAUUCUCUUGCUAGUUGAAGAAAUGGCUCCUGGGAAAAUGGUUUCUGCUGGGAUGAAAUGAUCCUGACGUUUAUUUGACUCCUUCCAGAGUUGUUCCGAGGUUGUUCCUUGGUUGUGCUAUCCCAAAAGGAUUGGCAACAGGCAACAUGUUUGGGGGAGCUAUUUUCUCUUGUCAGCCUUUCUCUACAGCCUCUUUUGGAACUCUCCCCCUCUCUCUCUUCUUGUGAACAUCUGAAAUGGUCCCUGAAACCAUGUAGACUCAUGACAUAAGAGAGAAGGUGCAGAGUUAAGUGUAGUGAUUCCCUCCUGAAAGUGACAUGUAGCUUCACAGUGAUGCAAGUGGAGGCUGCAGACAUGGCCAGGCAGUGCUGUGACCAGAGUCUUCACUCUAGCCUGUCUCAAUGGCAAGACAACACCACAUUAAGGUACCAUUCCUUAUGUAUUUAUCACAUUCCAAGGACCUCAUGUCUCCCUGAGUCUUACCCUUUCCAUCCGAUAUUGAUUUCUUCUUCCAAGAUUCUUACUGUGAGCAUUCCUCUGCUGGACCUUGGUAGGUAGCGUGUUUUCUCCACUGUCAGAAUGAAAAUGUCAUAUGUACCCCGAUUCUGAAAGACCCCUUUGAUGGGUAUAGAAUGUUCAGUUCUAAGUUACCUCUUCUAGCUAAGUGGCCUCCUGGCUGUUCUCCCUGCUCUCAAUGAGGCAGCUGUCAAUGUGAAGUUGGCUUUCAUUAAAGUUAUCUGCACACACACAGCUCACUCCCCUUGUCACUUUUCUGAUUGUUUUUCCUCUGGUUUUUGGAUUUUUGAAUGUGUACUGUGCUAUGCUUAGUUAUACACACCUUUGCUGGUUUUCAUUUUGUUUCACAUUUGUUGGUGUUUCUUGAAUCUCUACGUUGAUGUAUUUUAUAGGUUCUGAAACUUCUGAGCCUUGAUCACUUGUGAUAUGGCCUCCUGAUUCUUUAUCCCUGUCCCAUUUGAGCCUGCUUUCUAAGUGUGGGACAGACUUGCCAUUCCCAGGCCUCUUACCCACAUGCGUCAGCAUCCUCCAUCUCUGUGUGGCUGUAUCCUGCUUGAUGCUUGUCUUGCUCAGCUCACAGCGGGUGUCUAGAACUGAGUUACCAUCCGUUAAACCUAUCCACUGACUUAUGUUUUAAUUGCAUAUUAAUUUCAUCAAUGUGAUGCAUACUUAUGCUGCUGUCUAAUAUUUUAUUUAAAUUUAUUGUAAAUAUUUACUAUUAUUUGAUAUGUACUGGGCUCAGAGUGCCCCCAAGUCUGGCGAAAGCUCCUGCAUGCAACAUAAUAACCCUAGUUGGUGUUCUGGAACCCAUGUAUUAAGGUAGAUGGAGAAAACCAAUUCUACAUUGCUAUUAUAUGACCCCUGCCUGUGAGCCCUGGGUAGCGCACAACAAAUACUCACAGACAAUAACAAUAAAUUUAAAAAAAUAGUAACAUGUGUGUACUGAUUUCUAGUCAUUCUAUUUUCAGUGUUUCUGCCAACGUGCUAACCUUUGUAUGUCUUUACAUUAAGAUUUUAAUGUCUUUCCUUUGAUUUCUUUAAAAUAGUGGUAGUUGGUGUCUGUUCUACCCCACAUCUUCUUUAGAAGACAUGUAGCUUGCUUUCCUUGGUCUUGGUAUCAUUUUUCUGUGACUACUCUUUAUUUGAAUUAAUUUUUUUGCUUUGUGAAGAUCAUUGUAUUAAAAAACAAAAUUAGUUCGAUGCCUCUGAUGAAAGGACGAGCCUUCCUUUCAAUACCAUUGUAUUUGUUUCUGCAGGGUGACUGGAACAGUUGCUAUUUAGAACCACUUGAAACUAAAUUACACCUUUUCUCCUUCCCCUUACAGCCCAGGUCAUCCAAACUAUAAGACAAUUUUUUGAACAGGAUGUUCAUCUCUGAGCGUCCUCUCAUCUGGGGCUAUAGCAUCCUGGACUCUUCAUUUAUUAUAAGAAGUUUUUCCUAUUAGACAUUCCACUUCAAUGUGGUCUUGUGCUUUUUGAUUCCUGUUCUCUUGGCCUGGGGGCUUGCUAAACAAGAUGGAAAGUGUCUGACUCAGAGUGCCCUCAAGUCUGAGGCAAGUUGCUGUGUGUAUUUCCUUCUGUAGCUUCUAGCAUUUUCUGCACUCGGAAGGAAGCUCCUCUUUGGUGUUUUUCAGGGGGAUGUAAAUUGCAUAGUUCAUUUACUGUCAAAUUGAGGUUACCUGAGUGACCCAUAUAUCUUUUCAGGAAGUGACAAGAGAUGCUCUCGUAAACCACAGAUCACUUCACCUCUCUAGUCACAGGCUGGAACAUCCUAUGUGCUGUUGGUUGUACUUGAGGCAAAGAACAAGGCAUUGACGGUUUAACAGAUGGUAUCGUUCUGUGUCUCAGUUUCUUUGGAUGUGAAAUGAGGUCAAAAGUCUGUACUGUCCACCGCACAGAGUCACUGUGAAACUCAAAUAGAACCACCAAUUCUCGGAUUUUAACUGAUUCAAUAGUACAUACAGAAAUGUCAAAGUGGAGAACCAGCCCACAUUUCCUUGGACUUUGCUGCUCUUCAGCACCAAUGAGAUAAAAAAUGAACCAUGCAGUCAGGUGGGGCAAGACGUUCUAGUGCCUCUGGCCCCACCUGUGAGAGCAGAUUUCCAGCUGGAGACAUGUACUGUGAAGAACUCACAUUUUGUCUGACCUGUCUUGAACCAGUGUCACAUGACCACUGUGAAUCAGGAGGCUGAUGUCUUCUAGAUGGAGUGUCUAUAAAGCAGAUUCCUCUUCGGAGUCUGAAUUCUUCAUCUAGAAACCCUAAGCCACCAUGCUCUUCUUCCUUCCUAACCCUGACCCAGGGCUGCCUACUGGAGUCAGUUAAACUUAGACUGACUUCUUUUUUCUGAUCUUUAUUUUAACAUUUAUUUCCUGAAAGAAAAACAAUUGGAAGUCUAUCUAAAAAUCAGCCCUUGGACUCAUUUUCCUAUGGGUACUUCUUGUUCUUUUCCUUUUAGUUAUUUGUGACAGACAACAGACAUCAUACAACAAAUAUUGAACUUGAUGAGUUAGCCUGCAGGCAAAAGCAGCAGCCAAAUGCAGGGUUGAAUGCAGAAACCUGGUUAGUCUACCUUGACAUCUGAGGCUGAGAUACAUCUCUCCAGACAGUAGAGAGUUCUAGAAAAUAAAAAAGAUAGAAAGGGAGUAAUAUUGUGGUGAGUGAGGAGGAAGAAAUAAAAGGUCAAGUAUAGAGGAUAGUUUCCUAUCUAGGAAGAAGGUCGGAAGGAGCAUGUGACCUUGGGUGUUAUAAGUGACAGGAGAUGGUCAGAAGGAUAUGAGGCUGAGGUGAUUUUGUAUGAGAUUUUCUAUUCAGAAGAUUAAGAGAGUUCCUCCAGGGGUUGGGGAUUUAGCUCAGUGGUAGAGCGCUUGCCUAGCAAGCACAAGGCCCUGGGUUUGGUCCUCAGCUCCGGGGGGAAAAAAAAAGAGAGCAAGAGAGAGUUCCCCCAAGUUAUGUUCAUUUUAACAGCAACAGGAUUGGUCAAUAAACAUAUCCGGUCAAGGUACAAAUACUAUUGCCAAGCAACAAUGAGUCUCCCAGGACAGUCCACACUUCAGAUGAGCGAUAAUUAUCUAUGACGACUUGGCUGCACCAUAAGUAGUUAUCUCUUGGGAGGCAAGUUCCUCCUUUCCAGGGAUGAUAGGGAUAAGGACUUCUGGUGAAACCACUGUGUAGGACCCGAUCUGGACAAUGAUGGAAUCAUAUAUUGGCCAAACCUGCUUAAUUAUGGAUACCUGUUACAUCCUGCCACUGUUCUUCCUCUGUUUAAACAGAACACUCACAUCAGAAUCUCGAAGGUAGACUUGGGGUCAUCAGUUAAUCUAGCAUCCUUCCUGUUGUGGUUGCAUUAAUUAAAUUUCCUCAUUUCUUUAGUUAGCGUUUGGUACUGGUGGUCAAGCCUAGUUUUCUGGGGCUGCUAGAAGCAGAGUGUUUGCUUGCAAGUUAAGUAAUAAAGCUGUUGUAGCUUUGGGACACUCCUUGGAUCGAUUAUUUGUGGAAAAGAAGUCCUUACACAGAUGCAUACAUGAGUGCUUUCACCCUUGAUAAAAUAAAUGUCUUUUGUAUACACUGUCAUUUCUGAAGUUGUGUUCAGAGAAGCAAUGAUAAUUUUGAGGAGAAAAGAUACUCCUAUAGGGAGAAAGAUUCAGGUUUGCCAAUAUGUUUAGGAAAGCACGUGUGUUCCAUGCUAUUUCAUUAUCUACGACACAUACAAUGUAUGCAGGAUUCUAAAUUGUCCAGCAUGUCAUGUCCCAAAUCCAGAGUUUUCUCCAACAUCUUGACAAAGUCUUCUUUUCUUAGAAUACUGACCACAAAGAUAUCUUGCAGGACACUAACAGUUUGAGGAAAAUAUUCUUUCUAUAUCACAUGGCUCUGUCUUAUUUCUGCUAUUCAGAGAAUUUCUAUAUAAUAUAUUUUCACAGCAGUGCCCAAGAGCAAAACUCUCUUCCUAGGACACAUCCCCAGGGUUUAGCAGCUGACUCUAUCUGCUGAUGAUAAUGACUGUGGUUUACCUAGGGCUGUUGAAUCUCUUGUGUGUUUUUCCCAUGAGCUACCUCUGAUUCUCCUGAUGAUCCUAGGGGAUAGAUAUAACAUUCUUCUCAGACUUCAACAAGAAGAUGAAGUCAUUCUUAUUAAAACAUCAGCCUGAGACAUGCAGCCACACCAGGACUGAGGCACAGUCUGUUGAACAUAGUGUUUAUGUCUACCAUAGAACAUUUAUUAAACAGGGUCUCUGCACAAAGUGAAAACUAGGUUGAAAAGCGAAUAAAUUGUAACACACACACACACAAACACACACACACAAUUUAAUUUAUUCUUUUUUAGCUCCACAGAUAACUUUAAAAAUCAUCAAGUUCAUAUUUUUUCUUUUAUCGCAUUUGCAAAUAACAUACACGAGACCUUGAGGAAGGGAAAUGACUUCCUCAUGAUCCUGUGGCCAGCUGGUUUCUGAGUUUAUACCUUCACCCAUUUCCCGGGCUCUCAUAAAGAACUGAUUUCAUGCAUGAUAAAACGAUGUGGCUACAUUAUAGUCAGUCAAAUCUUCAGACUUGGCUUUAGUCAUGUUUCUUAGUCUCAUGACUCAAUAAACCUGAACCUCUUCUCUUCCAAGAGACUGGCUGUCACCAAGGUGUUAGCCUAAUAGGUAGAAGAUUCAGCUGUACACACAGGGGUUCAUGGAAAAUGAGGCCUGCCUUCCUGUCUGCUGAAAACCUAGCAAAAUAAUUAGAAAUAGGAGGGUGCAAGUCGAGUUAGCACGCCAGAUUUCCAAAAUUUGUUCAAAUGCAGAAUCUGGAGAAGCAAUACAGGCAUUGAAAGCUUGACUGCAAAUUUAGGGCAAGGAGAAGCUGGAAGAUAUCUCCCUGCAUUGGGCCCAGGAUCCUUUGCCUUCCAGACUCCUGCCUUCAGCCCACCAUCUCCUCGACUGGAACCCUUAACUCAGUCUGGCAGCCAGGCUGUACUAGCUCCCAGCCUCUGUGACAGACUGUGCUCAACUCAGCCCCAGCAAAACUGACAGUCUCAUCAGCCCCGCCCCUUCACAAGGAGGAUCACAUCUUUUCCACCUCCCUGCACCUCUUGCUUGCUUUUUAAAAAAAAUUGUUGUAAAUUGACAAUUUGUAAUUGUAUGAAUUUAUAGGGUACAAAAUGAUGUUAUGAUUUAUGAAUACAAUGUGGAAUAAUUAAAUCAAGCUAGUUAGCAUAUCCAUCACUUUAUAUACUUAACAUUUUUUUUGUUAUGAGAUUGUUUGAAAUUUACUCUUAGGAAUUUUGAAAUGUACAAUACUCUAUUAUUAACUGUAUUCAUCAUGCUGUGUAAUAGAACUCAGAAUUAAGGAAAACAUUAACAUAUUCCUCCCCUCUUUUCCCAACUAUCUUCUCACUCCUCUUUUCAAUGUCUUUAAAUGCCUAACUCCUCUCCACUGCUAUGAAUUCAGUCCUUUAGGAUAGCACACAUAAGUGAAAGCACAUGGUAUUUGUUCUUCUCUGCCUGGCUUAUGUGGCUUAGCAUAUUGCUCUGCAGUUUCCUCUGUCAGAAAUAACAGAAUUUCAUUCAUUUUCAAGUCUGAAUAUUGUUUCAUUGUGUAUAUAUGCCACAAUCUUUAUUGUCUCAUCUUUUCAACAACACUGGAUUACCCAUAAUGUGGCUAUUGUGUAUGGCCCCGAAAUGACCAUCCCAUUACAUGAGAAAAGUUAUUUGACAAAAGCUGACAUCAUUGAAUGAACAAAAAGUCCCAACUAAUUAUGUAUAUGGGAUAUGUAAAGCAUAAUAUCACAAUAGAUAGGAAAUCUGAGGAUAACAUUAUUUUCACUGGACAAAAUUCAAAAUAUUUCCUCUGAGAUCAAGAGAACAGGGCAGGGAAUACGUUGAAGUUGCAGAAUAAAACCUCAAUACACAAAAUAUGUAGCAAUUGGCUAUGCAAAACCAGAACCAGGAGAUUAAUUUGAUUUAUGAUAGCCAAAAAGAAUGAACUGCUUAGAAAUAAAAUUAACAAGGAGGUAAAAGACCCAUGUAUUGGAAGUUGUACGAUGUUAAGAAAAGGUGCUGAAGAAGAUACAAAUAGAUGUCUAUGGAUUAGAAAGAAUAAUAUUUAGACUUUUAAAUAUUCCACUUUGUUUUAUAGAAAUAGGAGUAUAUAAAUUCACAAAGAAUAACAACAUAAAAAUGCAAAUAUCUAUGUCACUUAUGAAAUAAAAGAGCAAGUUGAAAAGCAUUUUACACCCUUAUCUCCAGCUAUAUGAGAAAUGGAUUAAAUUAGUCUGAUACCUUUAAAAAGUGUACACAUAAACAAAUGGAACAGAAGAAGGAGCUCAAGAAGGAAACAUGACCAUGGUAUUGUGGUAAAGGUUAAUUGUCAACCAGAA